Molecule: transfer-messenger RNA, 372 nt
Filed under: Actinorhabdospora filicis
Lineage: Bacteria; Bacillati; Actinomycetota; Actinomycetes; Micromonosporales; Micromonosporaceae
Rfam family: transfer-messenger RNA
About the family: Bacterial tmRNA, also known as 10Sa RNA or SsrA, is named for its dual tRNA and mRNA-like properties.
Source: RNAcentral
GGGGCUGACUGGUUUCGACUUUGUACGUCGAUGCAGGGGAAGCGUGCCGAGGAUGCCGACAGUGUCUCGUUAAUCAGUGUCGGAAACCAACAAGUGCCAACUCUAAGCGCACUGACUUCGCUCUCGCUGCCUAAGCGAUAAGUGAAGUUGGCGGUCCGGGAGCCGUGUUCGUCCCGGGUACCGCCAUCAUUUAGAACACUAGGGAUGGGGAAUGGCCGCAGGGCCCCUCUCCCGAAACCAACAGCGGCUGGAGCCCGUCACACCGACUUGCUCGCGUGAUCGGUGGGGCUUGAGGAAAGGCAGAGCGAGCUGCGCACGGAGAAGCCCUGCUGAAGCGGCGAAGGACCCGGGUUCGAUUCCCGGCAGCUCCAC